Molecule: ribosomal RNA, 377 nt
Filed under: uncultured bacterium
Lineage: Bacteria
Description: bacterial SSU rRNA
Rfam family: Bacterial small subunit ribosomal RNA
Source: RNAcentral
AUACGUAGGGGGCGAGCGUUGUCCGGAAUUACUGGGUGUAAAGGGCGUGUAGGCGGGGAUGCAAGUUACUGGUAAAAACCCGAGGCUCAACCACGGGCUUGCCGGUAAAACUGUAUCUCUUGAGUGUAGGAGAGGGAAGUGGAAUUCCCGGAGUAGCGGUGAAAUGCGUAGAUACCGGGAGGAACACCAGUGGCGAAGGCGGCUUCCUGGCCUACUACUGACGCUGAGGCGCGAAAGCUAGGGGAGCGAACGGGAUUAGAUACCCCGGUAGUCCUAGCCGUAAACGAUGGUCACUAGGUGUGGGUGGUGGUCAAGCCAUCCGUGCCGGAGCUAACGCAAUAAGUGACCCACCUGGGGAGUACGGCCGCAAGGUUGAA